CCGCGUGAGUGAUGAAGGUCUUCAGGAUCUGUAAAACUCUGUUAUUAGGGAAGAACAAACGUGUAAGUAACUGUGCACGUCUUGACGGUACCUAAUCAGAAAGCCACGGCUAACUACGUGCCAGCAGCCGCGGUAAU
RNAcentral lists this ribosomal RNA (137 nucleotides) under uncultured bacterium. RNAcentral describes it as "partial 16S ribosomal RNA". It matches the Rfam family "Bacterial small subunit ribosomal RNA", at positions 397 to 524 of the family's 1533-position model. The record is from RNAcentral.